This is a non-coding RNA of Caenorhabditis elegans, 21 nucleotides long. Lineage: Eukaryota; Metazoa; Nematoda; Chromadorea; Rhabditida; Rhabditidae. The record is from Ensembl.
UAGUUUUAGAAUCGUAUAGUU